UGGGGAAUAUUGCACAAUGGAGGGAACUCUGAUGCAGCGACGCCGCGUGAGUGAUGAAGGCCUUCGGGUUGUAAACUUCUUUUGCUCUGAACAAGGCAUGCCUUUGGGGUGUGUUGAGUGUAGGGGUUGAUUAGCGCCGGCUAACUACGUGCCAGCAGCCGCGGUAAUACGUAGGGCGCGAGCGUUGUCCGGAAUUAUUGGGCGUAAAGGGCUUGUAGGUGGCUGGUUGCGUCUGUCGUGAAAGCUCAUGGCUUAACUGUGGGUUUGCGGUGGGUACGGGCUGGCUUGAGUGCAGUAGGGGAGGCUGGAAUUCCUGGUGUAGCGGUGGAAUGCGCAGAUAUCAGGAGGAAUACCGGUGGCGAAGGCGGGUCUCUGGGCUGUUACUGACGCUGAGGAGCGAAAGCGUGGGGAGCGAACAGG
Molecule: ribosomal RNA, 420 nt
Filed under: Fusobacteriota bacterium
Lineage: Bacteria; Fusobacteriati; Fusobacteriota
Description: Fusobacteria bacterium partial 16S ribosomal RNA
Rfam family: Bacterial small subunit ribosomal RNA
Source: RNAcentral